Non-coding RNA from Pelobates cultripes (western spadefoot toad), 8391 nucleotides. Lineage: Eukaryota; Metazoa; Chordata; Amphibia; Anura; Pelobatidae. The record is from the annotation of a GenBank genome assembly.
CCGGAACAUAUCCUGGACAACAGCAACAGAGGUCCACGUAAGUAGUGACAAGGUGGUGUUGGUCUUCUAAGGAUCCCUGCUUAUUGGAACUUAUGCUCCUUACACACAUGGGCUGUUGUUUAUUUUACAAUUGACACCUAGAUAAUAAAAACUGUUACGGGAAACUCAUACCUUAAACAUACACGCAGGUAACCUUUAAACAUACAAAAAGAAUCUAUCAUCCAUGGGCUGAAGAUGCUUCAGUUUAUGUAGUGCAUACAAUAGCCAGCCCCAGGGUCACUGCAAAAAGAAUGCCGAGUGACAGUGGAGGCACAUGACAAAAUCACUCUGCAAAUUCCAGGAAAUAGACAAAAGGGAAGGAUAAUGCUAGAAUUGCCCUUUAUACACUUUUAUUUUCUGCACUGAUAACUUAAUGUAUAUGUAUAAUUUGUAGUAAUCUCUAUCUAUUUAAACAUAUAUAAUAUGUAGAUCGAUAGGUAGAUAGAUAGAUAGAUAGAUAGAUAGGAAUGCAGAAAGUUAACACCUGUUUUGUUUCUGAUUCAGAAAAUACACAUAUUCAUUGGUUCUAAAUUAGCUACAUAGGGCACUGAAAGUAAAUAAUUAAAAAAAUAAUUGGUUUAGCAGUAAUUAGUUAAUUAGUUAAUGCCACUAUUCACUUCGGUCAAAAAAUGGUAAUGAAAAAUGUUUGGAAGGUUAUUUGAAACAAAAAAAGGGGGGUUAUGACUGUGCUGACAAGCAGAAAUGGCUACAAUAUUGCCUGGCCUAAUGGCUACAUAUAUCAGCUAUGCAAUGACAAUUCUGAGUUAACAAAAUUAGAUUAUUAGAUAUCUGGACACAGACAUACACAUACAUGCCAACUCCUACAAAAACACACAAAGACACAUGAGCACACACAGAUUCAUACACGCACACACAUACAUUCAUAUACAUGCAGAUACUCAUAUACACACACAUACAGUCACAUACACACAGAGAUUCAUACAUAUACACACACAGACUUAUAUACACACAGACAUUCGUAUACACACUCAUAAUUACAGCUAUACAAACAAAUAUAACAGACUCCCUUUUCUUACCUUGACAGGGAGAGCUAGAAUGGAACCUCAUCCCAGGGGUCUAGUGAGGAGAUGCUGAGAUCGGUCUCUAGGGAGCUGGAAAAUCAGUGCAGAGUGAUCCCAGCGCUCUCUCUGUGCCUGCACCUUAAGUAUAGCUACGGGUGUGGGGUGUGGGGGGGGGCACACUCUGGUGGAUGGGUACCCUUUGCCCCCUGCAACUUGUCACCACCACCCUGCUUCAGUCCCCUUAGUAUGCCACUGGAGAGAACUUAAUUGUGUAAUGAUUGAUUAUAAUCUUGUUUGUUCCUUUUUUAAAUCCAAAAGGAAAAGGAAAAAGUCAGAGGGCAGUUGAGCACCCACUCUCCCCUUCCACCCUGACAACAACAGCAGAGCUUUGCCACACAUCCAGCCUGUAGUGUCAGUGACUAACCUCAAGGUUCUUUUUUUUACUUUGUGCCUUAGUAGCAGCAGGAGUAGGAGCCAUUGUCUUGGAAAAAAGGGGAGUUUUCAAAAAAGAAAUGCCCACUUUCGUUUUCAUUUUGACUUAUAAAUUAUCCAAAUGUUUCAUAUGGAAUUACUCCUGCUACUCCUGCUAGUGCUCCCCUUUAUUUAAAUGACUUUUAUUGUCGUGGUUUCACCCUACCUUGCUACCGCCACACACAGUUGGGAGAAACUGAUGAUAUGUUUUUUUUACCCACCCUGGAAGACGGUCAAUAACACUAUUAACCGGAUGUGUGGGAGAGCAUUGUUCUUCUCAGAGUAGAAAGGGUCAUCAAUAGUGAUGUCCCGAACGGUUCGCUGGCGAAUAGUUCCCGGCGAACAUAGCGUGUUCGCGUUCGCCACGGACGCCGAACAUAUGCGAUGUUCGGUCCGCCCCCUAUUAAUUUACUAAUACUAAGUAAAAAUUACUUAGUAUUAGUAAAUUGUGCCCCUACUCGCAAUACCGUGAGUAGGGGCAUGUCUAUUAAACAGUGAGCAGCCUGUGGCUGCUCACUGUUAAAAAAAAAAGGGUCCCCACCCCGGUGGGGGCCCUAAAUACUAAUAGGGGGGGACCUAUUGUCCUCCCCCCGUCCCCCACCCCUGAGUGGUGGGUGGGGGCCCUAAAAAUAACAAUAAGGGGGGGACCUAUUGUCCUCCCCCCAGCCCCCACCCCUGAGCGGUGGGUGGGGGCCCUAAAAUUAACAAUAAGGGGGGGACCUACUGUCCCCCCCGGCCCCCACCCCUGAGCGGUGGGUGGGGGCCCUAAAAUUAACAAUUAGGGGGGGGACCUACUGUCCACCUCCGGCCCCCACCCCUGAGCGGUGGGUGGGAGCCCUAAAAUUAACAAUAAGGGGGGGACCCACUGUCCCCCCCCGGCCCCCACCCCUGAGUGGUGGGUGGGGGCCCUAAAAUUAACAAUAAGGGCCCACCCCUGAGCGGUGGGUGGGGGCCCUAAAAUUAACAAUAAGGGGGGACCUAUUGUCCCUCCCGGGCCCCACCCCUGAGCGGUGGGUGGGGGCCCUAAAUACAAAGGGGGGGGACCCUAGUCACCCCUUCCCCCCCAAAAAAAUAUGAGCUCCCUACCUACCCCCCUCACCCUAAAAAUAAUGAGGGGGGGACCUUUAACUAAAAACCUAUAAAAAAAAAUUAGAUACAAAUAACUUAUCAUUUGAUGUUUUCUUUCUUCUACAAUCUUAUUUUUUCAGCCCCAAAAACGGCCAAAUAAAAAGCCAUAAGAACCGACACAAUUAAAAAAAAACAAACCAAAAAAAAAAGAGCGCACAAAAAAAUAAUCCAUCUUCACCCAUGGAGGGCUCCGCACAGACUGAGCUCUGCAGGGCGGGGGAAGGCUUAUAAAGCCUUGCCACGCCCUGCAAUUAGGCUAAGAACACUCUGAUUGGCUGGUUUAAGCCAAUCAGAGUGCUCUUUGUCAUUUUACACAGCGUGGGAAAAUUCAAAAUAAUUUUCCCACGCUGUGUAAAAUGACACAGAGCACUGUGAUUGGAUGGCUUGAAAUCCAUCCAAUCACAGUGCUCUGUGUCAUUUUACACAGCAUGGGAAAAUUGAUAUAGAUGUCUUCCUGUAGGCCUGUGAGCCUCUUGUCCAGUUCCGAUGCCACAUGGGAUUUUAUGUCCAUGAUGGCUUCUUUAAGCAUGCUCUUCAUGUGCUGUAAGGUGAGAGGGGCGUCUGGUGCUGUGGUGUGUUCAUUUCCCUUGAAGUCUGAGCUUGUUUCCUCCAUGCUUUGGCGGGAAUAUGACUGGCCUGGUUCUUGCUGAGGGCGGAACAUCGUGGCGACCGAUGGGGUUUGUUCUUUUUUCUAUUUUCCGCCUCCCAUCGUGGUGUUUUGUGCUGAGUGGGUAGUGUGUUGUUUCUCGAGUUUUCUGUGGUAGUUUUAUUGCUCGUGUGUGCGGAUGUUUGCAGAUUGAAUUUGCUGGGAAGUGGGAGCUAUAGAAUUAAGCUGCCAUCUUCCUCAACGGUCAGGCCACGCCCCCCCAAUUGUUUGCACUUUUAACACUGGCAUAUGACACUUUUUUAUGUUUAACAUAUUUGCACUUUAUAAGUAACUAUCUUGAGCAGGCACUUUGUCACUUUAUAUUAUCUUUUAAACUAAAGCAAUGGUGGUCAACACAUUGAACUAUAGAUUUCAAUUAUAUAUUUCAACAUGCACUUUAUCCUUAUACAAGCACUUCAUCCUCUUUCAUUCACUCCCCCUAUUCCUUAGAACGAGCCACAGAUUGCACUGUAUCAUUAUAACCGCAACCCUAUUCCCAUGGCGACAAAGUUUGUACCACGUCCUUAUGGAAAUGGACGCGAUGACGUCAUGACGUCACGGGGGCGGAGUUUCUUUGCACAUGCGCACAGGGCAACACAGAACGCCGAUCGGAAAUGCACUUCACCUGGGGGUAAGCCAAUUUGUUUACUGUAUUUUGCUAUAUACGUCUGUCAUUUUGAUUGUGUUAUUGUAUUGAUCCUGAGGAAAGUCCUGUUUGGUGGACUGAAACGUUGAUCGUGAUUUUUUUAAUAUGAAUUAAUAAAGAAUAGAACUUUUAAAGUCUGUGAGUGCUGCUAUCUCUUUUGGAUACCUUGAUAUAAAUAUAUAUAUAUAUAUAUAUAUAUAUAUAUUAAUAUCAAAAUACAGUUAGAAUAAAAUUUCAUAUAGAUAUAUAAUUCUUUUUUAAAUUUUUAUUAUUUUUAUAUUUUUUUAUUUAAUUUAAUUUACUUAUUAUUUGUAUUUUAUAAUAAUAUAUAUAUAUAUAUAUAUAUAAUAUAUAUAGUUAUUAUAUAUAUUAUAUAUACAUGGCCCCUGGGGUCCUAAUUCGCCAUGGGGAGACUGUUCGGGCUGCAGGCAGUCUCCCCACACCGGGAGCACCACCGAUCGCAGCCGGGGAAACGACGGCGACCGGGUGAGUACAUGUUACCGUUAUGACGGUUCAGGACCGUAACCGGUCCUCAACGGUAUGUUAGCGAUGAUGGUCCUGAAUUGUCAUCGGUCAUCAAGGGGUUAAAACUGUAUAUUGGUAAUUAGUUUCACACUAGGAUAAAUGACAAACUGCCUGCUUCCACUCAAAGUUUCCUAUAGCAAAAACCUAACGUUAGUCUCACACUAGAAACGAUUACCUAGGUUAGCUCACUCUGCAACACAGGCAGUGCAAUGGUAAACACACAGAAUCACUGCUGGUCUGUCUCCCACAAUAGCUACGGUCAAAGUGUCUGGAAAAAUCUUGUUUAAGAAAAUAGUUGUUUUAUUCCUCCUCCUUUUGUCCCUGUAUCAAUCAGUUGUCACUUGAUCUAUGAAUAAAAUCAACAUGUGUAUGUAUGUGUGUAUAUAUAUAUAUAUGAUCUACAUAUCUAAUACACAUUUUCUCUAAUGUUCUCAUUUCUAUUUUUCACUUUAACACUAACUUCUUUCAUUACUAAAAUAUCCCUAUCCUUUCGCUCACCUGUCCCUGGCAACACCAUCGUCAUUACUUCCACCUUACUCCCCUCUCUAUUCAUCCCAUGCACUCUACACAUACCUUUUCCACCUUAUCUCCACCAACUCCUCCCAAAUACUCUGUUUGCAAUAUUAUUAAAUCCACUGCUGUCCAUGACUUCUUCAUCUCUCGUUCAAUAGAUUUACUAGCCUUAACAGAAACCUGGCUCUCCCCCUCUGACACUGCCACCCCUGCAUCUUUGUCCUUCGGUGGUCUCCAACUUACCCACAACCCAAGAAACUCUGAAUGUAAAGGUGGUGGUGUUGGGUUUCUCCUCUCCCCUCACUGCUCUUUUAAACCUCUUCCCACCCCCCCUUCCCUCUCUUUCCCGUCAUUUGAAAUACACUCAAUUCGCCUUUUCAAACCCUUCUCUGCUAACAUUGCUGUUAUUUACCGUCCCCCUGGUUCCCCUCUUCUCUUCCUUGACCACUUUGCUGCCUGGCUACCCUAUUUCCUCUCUUCUAACAUUCCAUCCCUAAUUCUCUGGGACUUCAAUAUUCCUAUUAACCCACCUUUGACCUCUGCAGCCUCUAAACUACUUUCAAUUACUUCCUCCCUCGGGCUAUCACAGUGGGCUAAUUCUCCCACCCAUGUAGCUGACAAUACCCUUGACCUAAUCUUCACUUAUGCAUGUACAGUAUGUAAUAUCUGCAACACUCCAUUUCCUCUCUCUGAUCACCAUCUCUUAUCAUUUGCUCUCGUGUACCCCCUCACCCAACAACCUCAGCCUAAACCCCCUCAACUCAGGAGGGACUUUAAUUCUCUUGAUCUCCAGCAGUUGUCAGCUGAUAUUGAUUCACGACUGCUGUCCAUCCCUUCCCUCUCCUGUCCUUCACUGGCCAUCUCCGCAUAAAACACUACCCUCACCUCUGCCUUGAACGCUGCAGCACCGCUCCAAACAAGUACCUUGAGGAGGACCCGCCCCCAACCAUGGCAUACUAAAUCAAGACGCUACCUUCAAAGAUGCUCCCGUUGUGCUGAACGCUCCUGGAGGAAGUCUAGCACCCAGUCAGACUUUCUCCAUUAUAGAUUCAUAUUGUGUUCAUACAGCGCAGCCCUUGCCCUUGCCAAACAGUCCUACUUUUCCUCUCUCAUUAGUUCAUGCUCCCACAACCCAAGGCUUCUCUUUGACACCUUUAAUUCUCUACUUCGCCCUGCUGUGGCCACCCCCCAAACUAACCUUACUGCUGAUAACUUUGCAUAUUACUUUACUGACAAGAUUCAACAGCUAAGGAAAGAAUUCUCCCCUCCUUGCCUUGUAACCCUCUCCUGAUUGGUCUUCCCAAAAGCCGUACUGCACCGCUACAGUCCGUAAUGAACGGUGCUGCCAGACUGAUUUUCCUCUCUAGUCAUUUCUCUCACACCUCACCCCUCUGCCAGUCCUUACAUUCGCUUCCUGUAUGCUAUAGGAGUUUAUUUAAAGUACUAAUUCACACCUAUCAAGCACUGAACAACUCUAGCCCCUCUUAUAUCUCCUCACAGAUCCAUAGGUAUGUCCCUUCUCGGUCUCUCCGCUCUGCACGUGACCACCUCCUGUUCGUUGUCCGCACCUGUACGGCCAACUCACACUUGCUGGACUUCUCGCGGGCGGCUCCCUUCCUAUGGAAUAGCCUGCCUACCGCCAUCAGACUCUCCCCUAGUCUUACAUCUUUUAAGAAGUGCCUUAAAACCAAUCUCUUUAGGAAAGCUUAUGGCCUCCCAGAGUAACCUCUACCUCACAUACCUGUCUCUUGCUCUCUCCUAAAGGGCACCCCACCUCCUAUAGAAUGUAAGCUCGAUUGAGCAGGGUCCUCUUCAACCUAUUGUUCCCGUAAGAUUAUUUGUAAUUGUCCUAUUUAUAGUUAAAUCCCCCUCUCAUAAUAUUGUAAAGCGCUAUGGAAUCUGUCGGCACUAUAUAAAUGGCAAUAAUAAUAAUAAUAAAUAAUAACAUUAAGUGGCUGUCCCCUAACCACCGUUUUUCUGGAGCCAGGAAUGGUACUCCAAAUCAUGAAUGAAUCUUGAAUGAAAAUGAGCAUGUUUGGGUCUGUGCAAGUCUGUUUCCCCAAAAUUCUGGCACCUAACUGUUUGGAAAUCAGAAAUUGGAGGUGGUCCGAAAUAAAUCUCUAGUUGUAGUGCAGAAUGUAUGUAGUUUGUGUUCUCAUCCUUUUAAUGUGCCUAUAUGCAGUAACAGAAGUGAGCUAUGAAAACUGGACUAUGCAAGUAAUGAGGAAAUCAGAUUAUUCAUUGUCUGCUAAAAGAUUUGUUUACCUUUCAUCCCUGGAAGAUUUAGAAAACAUUUUGUUUAAAUAGUGCAUGUUUAAUUAUCAGACUAAAAUAUGUCUCAAACAGGUAACCUAGCAUUGAUUAUGUGUUUUCUAUCACGCAUUUGUCAUUUACUAACAGCUAAAACCGAAGCAGCAAAUCACGCCAAAUAAAUUUAGGGUUAUUCUGUGUCUAAAUUUGAUUGAAAUGCACUGUAUUAAACAAAAAAAUUUACCCUAAAUAUGAUAUGAGGAUCUCCAGCACUCUUGUAAUUUCAGGAUAUUACGGCAACUGCAGAACUCUCAGUUCUCCCAUACAGUGCCCCAGGUGGAGGAGAAAAGGCUUAAACAAAAUGGGUUUAAAACCUUUCUAGCCAGGAAGAUAUUUGAAAACUGUUUCGCCAGCUGUAACUUUGCAACACUCAUCCCUCAUUGCAGUCAAUGCCCUCUGACAGUAUUUUAAUGUUUUUAAAACAUAUUGUAGUAUACCUCUUCGUUUUACAAUAUAGAAAGUUUUUAUUUUUUUGCAAAGGACCUGUUAGAUGCACGUCCUGACUCAUCUGUGAAUAAUUCGAAACAUGCGGCAUGCAACAAUGCAGCAAUGUUAGAUGCACUUCCUGACUCAUCUGUGAAUAAUUUGAAGCAUAGGGCAUGCAACAAUGCAACAAUGCAACAAUGUUAGAUGCACUUCCUGACUCAUCUAUGAGUAAUUUGAAACACAGGGCAUGCAAUAAUGCUACACAGAACCUAUUUAUUUAUUUUUGGGGCGGUGGGGAAGGGGAGAUUUGAGUUCUGAGAAUAAUAUCACCUGCAAUAUAAAUCAAGCCUUGCAAAUGCAUCCACCAUCUCUGUUUUAUAAAUUACAGGAAGAAGAGGUGCUCCCCCAAUUAUAAAAGUACUAAUAGAAUAUGUACACACAUAGCAGGAACUUGCAAGACAAAGCUAUCGAGAAAUCUGACCAAGAAAUUGAAAUGAACAGACUACUCUAUAAUCCUUAAAAUAAAAUUGUCCUUAUCAAGUGACUUUAUUAAAUCUUAAUUCCUGCCAUAUUUAUGAUUGCAGAUUCCUCCCAAUAUUUUCUGUCUUGUGUUUUCUCCAACGUAAAACAAACAAUCAACGGUUUAUAAAUAAUUGUCUUUUUUU